GGAGUAAAGCAUAAGACAAAAGUAACUGUGAUGCUGACAAGUAGUUUUAUGAUUCUCUUCUUUUCCUUGUUUUCCGUGGCUUUAUUGUGCCGCACAGCUUGGUAGACUUUCCGGUUGCAGAUCAGGAUGGUGACCAAAGGUAUUGCAUAGCCUGUACACGUCCUGAACAAGUUGAGGUUGAUUUGCCAUUUCUCUAAAGGGUAUUUGUCAUAGCAUAAAGUAAAAUUAGACUUUUCGGCAUCGCAAUAUUCAACAACUGUUUCAUCUUCCCACAACAUGACAGCAUUGAAGAUGGUUUCCAAUAUCCAGAUGGACAGGCUGACCAUGAGUGCAAAUCUUCUUGUCCUUAGGAAAAAAAACUUCAAAGGGUAGACAACAGCCAAAUACCGAUCAACGGCAAUGCAGGAAAGACACACACAGAGAUCCAAUAUUGGCUGGAAUGCUGACUAUAAUCACAAAGAUGUAAACAAUGGGAAACAAAUAGUGAUCCAGGUCAUGCUGUUCUUCAAUACAUGUGCUGUUCAUUUUUUCCUUUUUAAGGUAGCA
This 546-nucleotide long non-coding RNA is filed under the name Homo sapiens (human). RNAcentral's name for it is "non-protein coding lnc-GALC-1:2". The record is from RNAcentral. Lineage: Eukaryota; Metazoa; Chordata; Mammalia; Primates; Hominidae.